This 393-nucleotide ribosomal RNA is filed under the name uncultured bacterium. RNAcentral describes it as "partial 16S ribosomal RNA". It matches the Rfam family "Bacterial small subunit ribosomal RNA", at positions 523 to 918 of the family's 1533-position model. The record is from RNAcentral.
AUACGGAGGAUGCGAGCGUUAUCCGGAUUUAUUGGGUUUAAAGGGAGCGUAGGUGGGAUAUUAAGUCAGCUGUGAAAGUUUGGGGCUCAACCUUAAAAUUGCAGUUGAUACUGGUUUCCUUGAGUACGGUACAGGUGGGCGGAAUUCGUGGUGUAGCGGUGAAAUGCUUAGAUAUCACGAAGAACUCCGAUCGCGAAUGCAGCUCACCGGGCCGGAACUGACACUGAUGCUCGAAAGUGCGGUUAUCAAACAGGAUUAGAUACCCUGGUAGUCCGCACAGUAAACGAUGAAUACUCGCUGUUUGCGAUACACGGUAAGCGGCCAAGCGAAAGCGUUAAGUAUUCCACCUGGGGAGUACUCCGUCAACGGUGAAACUCAAAUGAAUUGACGGGG